AGAAAAUGUCAUGGGGAAAAGCUGGUGGGGUUCAAGGUCAAAGACUGGGCUCACCGCUGAGCCGCCAGGCCCUUCUGCCCCACCCUCUUUCUCCCACAGCUGAGGCUUGUGAACAAAUCUGAACAAAUCUGAGGCAGUAGGCUCCAGGUGAAACCAAGCAACUCUGACUGGGACUUGAAUGCACUUGUCUUUUAGUCAAAAUUGCUCCUCUUGAGUCAGGACUUACUGAAGCUCAGGCUCUCUGUUUGCAGAAAGAGUUCAGUGAGAGACAAACUGAUAGGGAAGAAGUGGAUUUAUUAAAAGAGAUACAUAGUCCACAGACAGAGUGUGCUCCAUCUCAAUGCCCCAGGAUCUGGGAUCGUCUUGGAAAGUGAGAGCGGCCCUGGGAGAAACAUACUGCAAAGACAGAACCCAGACUGUCUCAGAAGGCAGAGAAAGGUGCUACCAAAGCUCCACCCUUGUUGCCCUAUUUCCCACACUGUGGCCCCCACAGAUAAGCUGUUUGGGAUGCAACAGCACCAUCAGCAGGUGGGCUAAAUCAGCUGAACUCUCACCACAGAGUGCUGCUGUUGCUGCAGCAGGAUGCAGAACACAAGGCUACCAUCAACAAAAACAGGGAAGAGCUGUUCUGCCAGAGAGUGACGGAGAGAACUGGAGCUGUAGAUGGGACAGCCGAGCUUCACCAUCGAGUUAAAUACCCGCAGAUCAUUACAAGGUCACCCUUACUGCCAGCUUGUACCUGUGGUAUCUUCCAGAACUUUCUGCCUUCACUACACUUGACCUCUAGCCUGAUCACACAGAUAAAGGGCAUUUGAUUCUUCCUUAGUACUUCUCAGAAACACAAACUUCUUACCUGCCCGAAUUCCUGCUGGAAGGGACCUGGUCGUCUAGUCUGUGAUUGUAGCUUAUGAAGGUAAAGAAACAGAACAGGGGUGAGUCAUUUUGGGUCCCAUUUCAGGAGGCAGCCUGGAGUAUAGUCUUUAUGGUCAGGCCUACUUGCCUAAGAUUUCUUUCUCCUGUUCUUUUACUGGUUUGACAUCCGAAUUCUUUUCUAAAGUCUGAUGAAUUACACCAAAGGAAUGACCUCUGCAAACCUUCCUUUCUGGCUCAAAGGCGGGCUGUUUCUAUAACCUGUAUGAUGAUUAGUAAGUGCAUUAGGGGCUGCCUUUCUUUCAUUUCAUGUAAUUUAGGAUUUUGAUAUGCGGAUUCUGCUUACGGGGAGGCCAUAUAUAGCUUUGUAAAACACAUUUGGAAGCAAAAAUGUUGGAAGCCUGGGCCCAUCCACAAGUCUGACUCUGACUGGUAGUUCUCUAAAUACCUAAAUUCCUACUGUAGUAUCUCUCUCUUUAAAACACACACACACACACACACACACACACACAACUAUUUGGCCCCACCAGGUCUUACGUGGGGCACACGGGACCUUCAAUCUUCACUGUGGCAUGCAUAAUCUCUUAGUUGUGGUUUGUGGGAUCUAGUUCCCUGAAAAGGGGUCAAACCUGGGCCCCUUGCAUUGAGAUCAAGGAGUCUCAGACACUGGACUACCAGGGAAGUCCCACCCACUUCUGUGUCUCUUGAUAACAGAUAUGACUGUAAUGGUGACAGGAAGCAAUUGCUGAUUGGUAAAUGGAGAAGUUAUCAUAAAAGGGAAAACAGAGUCUGGAGGUUUUAUUUGAGAUUGGCAUGAAACAGCUAACAGAGUGGUCUCAUGGUAUCAGUGGGCAAGAACUCAAGAAAGUAUCCCAAGCCUCCAGGAGUCAGGUUGGGCCCAGUCUUUUUUCCAUCAUUUCCCAGGACCUCAGGGAGGCCCUAGUGUGGGAGUGGUGGGGGUCCUGAUACCAGGAAUCAAGUCACAUCCUUUUGUAAAACAACCACCGAGGCAGAGGUUAAAGUCUAAUUCUCUUUAGGUUUCUCUUCACCAGGACUGCCAUACAUCCUAGCAGAAUAGCCAGCAAGGGAGAAAUGCUAUGGAGUCAUGUUAGUUAAGGGUGAUGGUAGCAGUGGAAGGUCAGGGGGUGGUUACCACAGAAGGAUUUGUAUGAAACUGAGCCCCUGGGGUUAGCGAUAAAACAGCAAGGUCAUGCAAUGGCAAUAUAUUAAAAUUCUCUUCUGGGCGAGGUGGGGCUAAUAAGAAUGUACUUUUAGAGAUUAUUUUGAAGUGUCUUUAUGUUUUCAGCUACUACUUUUGAUGUUAAUAAUGGAAACUAAAUAUAUCCUUCCUACAUAUGGCUUUCUUCUCUUAGUGCUUUCAGGUUCCUUCUUUAUUUGAAUUUUAUGAUAUACUUCUAAGGCAGGCAGUCUGAUUUUAUAUGAUUCCAUCUUGGCAUCAUUAAUGGAAAUCAUUAAGCUUUGAAGUGAGAUGGGCAAGUGUUUCAAAUUUUAGUUCCUUAUUUACUAGUUGUAUGUCCCUGACCUUGGCAAGCUAUCAGCCCUCUGAAACUCAACUGCAUUUGUUCACUCAGUCUGACUCCUUCUCAUAACUGCCUGAGAGGGUGCUCCAGAGGAUACAAGGAGAUAACCUCUGCAAAAUGCUGGCCACAAUGAGCAAUCAGUAAUUGCUAUUUCCCCUUGUGUGAGACGGCAAAUUCACCUUUGCCCUCUCACAUGCCAGCUGUCAUCAGACUGCACGGUUAGGUUUUUUGUUUUCUGUGUGCUGGCUCUGACACUAGAAUUGAGAUGCAUGAACACCAAAUGAUCACUAGAAACGCUUAAUGGCACUGAGUGUAAUAAAAACCACAAGCCCACUGAAUGUGAUGAAUUAGACUUCUAUUUGUACAGAUGACCUCCCUGAAUCCACAGACCAAAGUUCAUCAAGAUUACUGCGAUCACAUGGAGCCGCACGUUAAAGAGUACAAUCUCACCAAUUAAAAAUUUGUAGGGUGUACACACUGACAGUCUGUCAGCAUCCUGAUAACUUUUUAUUAAUGAGUGUCUCAGACUCAGGGCGCCCUCUCCAUUGUGUAUCUGGGAGAACCUUCCUGUCUUUGGUGUCAUGUAGCCCUAUUUACACACAUACCCGUUUACUCAUGUGGGGGAGAUGGCAGGCAAAGGGAUGCUUAUCAGCCUCUGCAGGAUGGAUGAUCUGCUCCUGGACUUCUGGGCCACAGCUCCUUUCUUGCCUCCUCUGUCUCUGCUCAGUGUCUUUUUCCAGUCCACUUUGCAGAACGUGUGUCCUCUACCAGUUCCCCAGGAUUCUGUCCUCAGUUCCCUUUCUUUUUUUUUAAUUUACUUUUAAAAAAUUCUAUUUAUUUUUAAUUGAAGAAUAAUUGCUUUACAGUAUUGUGUUGGCUUCUG
This is a long non-coding RNA of Capra hircus (goat), 3294 nucleotides long. Lineage: Eukaryota; Metazoa; Chordata; Mammalia; Artiodactyla; Bovidae. The record is from Ensembl.